Molecule: ribosomal RNA, 1153 nt
Filed under: Staphylococcus aureus
Lineage: Bacteria; Bacillati; Bacillota; Bacilli; Caryophanales; Staphylococcaceae
Description: bacterial SSU rRNA
Rfam family: Bacterial small subunit ribosomal RNA
Source: RNAcentral
CUGAUGUUAGCGGCGGACGGGUGAGUAACACGUGGAUAACCUACCUAUAAGACUGGGAUAACUUCGGGAAACCGGAGCUAAUACCGGAUAAUAUUUUGAACCGCAUGGUUCAAAAGUGAAAGACGGUCUUGCUGUCACUUAUAGAUGGAUCCGCGCUGCAUUAGCUAGUUGGUAAGGUAACGGCUUACCAAGGCAACGAUGCAUAGCCGACCUGAGAGGGUGAUCGGCCACACUGGAACUGAGACACGGUCCAGACUCCUACGGGAGGCAGCAGUAGGGAAUCUUCCGCAAUGGGCGAAAGCCUGACGGAGCAACGCCGCGUGAGUGAUGAAGGUCUUCGGAUCGUAAAACUCUGUUAUUAGGGAAGAACAUAUGUGUAAGUAACUGUGCACAUCUUGACGGUACCUAAUCAGAAAGCCACGGCUAACUACGUGCCAGCAGCCGCGGUAAUACGUAGGUGGCAAGCGUUAUCCGGAAUUAUUGGGCGUAAAGCGCGCGUAGGCGGUUUUUUAAGUCUGAUGUGAAAGCCCACGGCUCAACCGUGGAGGGUCAUUGGAAACUGGAAAACUUGAGUGCAGAAGAGGAAAGUGGAAUUCCAUGUGUAGCGGUGAAAUGCGCAGAGAUAUGGAGGAACACCAGUGGCGAAGGCGACUUUCUGGUCUGUAACUGACGCUGAUGUGCGAAAGCGUGGGGAUCAAACAGGAUUAGAUACCCUGGUAGUCCACGCCGUAAACGAUGAGUGCUAAGUGUUAGGGGGUUUCCGCCCCUUAGUGCUGCAGCUAACGCAUUAAGCACUCCGCCUGGGGAGUACGACCGCAAGGUUGAAACUCAAAGGAAUUGACGGGGACCCGCACAAGCGGUGGAGCAUGUGGUUUAAUUCGAAGCAACGCGAAGAACCUUACCAAAUCUUGACAUCCUUUGACAACUCUAGAGAUAGAGCCUUCCCCUUCGGGGGACAAAGUGACAGGUGGUGCAUGGUUGUCGUCAGCUCGUGUCGUGAGAUGUUGGGUUAAGUCCCGCAACGAGCGCAACCCUUAAGCUUAGUUGCCAUCAUUAAGUUGGGCACUCUAAGUUGACUGCCGGUGACAAACCGGAGGAAGGUGGGGAUGACGUCAAAUCAUCAUGCCCCUUAUGAUUUGGGCUACACACGUGC